UAGGGAAUCUUCGGCAAUGGGGGGAACCCUGACCGAGCAACGCCGCGUGAGUGAAGAAGGUUUUCGGAUCGUAAAGCUCUGUUGUUAAGGAAGAACGAGUGUGAGAAUGGAAAGUUCAUACUGUGACGGUACUUAACCAGAAAGGGACGGCUAACUACGUGCCAGCAGCCGCGGUAAUACGUAGGUCCCGAGCGUUGUCCGGAUUUAUUGGGCGUAAAGCGAGCGCAGGCGGUUAGAUAAGUCUGAAGUUAAAGGCAGUGGCUCAACCAUUGUAGGCUUUGGAAACUGUUUAACUUGAGUGCAGAAGGGGAGAGUGGAAUUCCAUGUGUAGCGGUGAAAUGCGUAGAUAUAUGGAGGAACGCCGGUGGCGAAAGCGGCUCUCUGGUCUGUAACUGACGCUGAGGCUCGAAAGCGUGGGGAGCGAACAGG
RNAcentral lists this ribosomal RNA (429 nucleotides) under Bacteroidota bacterium. Its description in RNAcentral is "Bacteroidetes bacterium partial 16S ribosomal RNA". It matches the Rfam family "Bacterial small subunit ribosomal RNA", at positions 355 to 776 of the family's 1533-position model. Lineage: Bacteria; Pseudomonadati; Bacteroidota. The record is from RNAcentral.